Molecule: unclassified non-coding RNA, 81 nt
Filed under: Triticum spelta
Lineage: Eukaryota; Viridiplantae; Streptophyta; Magnoliopsida; Poales; Poaceae
Description: partial external transcribed spacer
Source: RNAcentral
ACCGUUACACGUACACGGACCCGUGAACGGGCGGUACGUGGACACGCACGUACACGGACACGUGAACGGGUACGAGAGGUA